AGUUUCCUGGGGCAAGGGAUAAAAGAAUAAAAAGCGGAAUGUAUUUCGGUUGCG
Molecule: ribosomal RNA, 54 nt
Filed under: Tetramolopium consanguineum var. leptophyllum
Lineage: Eukaryota; Viridiplantae; Streptophyta; Magnoliopsida; Asterales; Asteraceae
Also listed under: 1 other name
Source: RNAcentral